CUCGCACAUUGAAGGAAGAGAAGAAGCGUGACAUACAUCGGAUACAGGAGCUGGAGAGAAGCUUCUCUGAACUGCAAAACCAGAUGGCUGAGCCCCAGUCCCCGGCACCCCCAGCAGGGACCUCUGAGUUGGAGCAGCUACAAGAUGAGGCCAAACAGCUGAGGAAGGAAGUGGAGGGACUGGAGGGAAAGCUCCAAUCCCAGGUGGAAAACAACCAGGCCUUGAGUCUCCUGAGCAAGGAACAAAAUGAGAGGCUCUGAGAGCAGGAGGAGCGGAGGGUGCAGGAGCAGGAGAGACUGUGUGAGCAAAAUGGGAGGAUUCAGGAGCAGCAGAAGAGGCUGGGGGAGGAGGGUGAGAGGCUGCAAAAGCAGGAGCAGAGGCUAUGGAAGCAGGAGGAAAGGCUGCAAAAGGAGGAGGAGCAGCACGAAAGCAGGAGGAGAGGCUGUGGGACCAGGAGAAGAGGCUGUGGGAGAAGGAGAGGCUACGAAAGCAGGAGGAGAGGCUCACACUCUCCCAGAACCACAAGCUCGACAAGCAGCUGGCCGAGCCACAGUGCAGCUUCGAGGAUCUGGUGGGUUGCCCCACCUGGGGAGCCUGCCCUCAUCCCUAUCCCUCCAGGCCUUUGUUUCCCCACCUGUAAAACGGGGCAGUGCAGCCCUCACAUGAAAUGGUACUUCUAAAGGCACCUGUGAGCCAGAGCUCAUCAGGCCCUCCUCUGAUGGCUGUGGGGGAGAGGGGAUGAUUUUUCUAACCUGCCUCCACCUUUCCAGUGACAUGGGAGGCAGACACCAAGUUCAGGGGUCUCCCGCUGCAGUGGAUGGCCACUGAUUGUUUCUGUCCAGAACAACGAGAACAAGAGCACACUGCAGUUGGAGAAGCAAGUAAAGGAGCUGAAGGAGAAGCCAGGCGAGGUGAAGGAGAUGGUAACCUCCACCCCAUCCAAGAAGGGCUGGGAGGCGGGCACCAGCCUCUGGGGAAGGGAGGUGCCAGGCCAAAGGCAGCUCCAGCUGGGGGGCAGGUGACCCCAGCACCCUCCAGGGCAGCCCUAUGAAUGUUUCUUGCUUCCUGCCCUCUGACUUUUAGAGGUGGGUAGCCCUGGGUUCCUCCCAGGUCUGGACAUCAUCCCCCCAGCUAGAGGCAUGGAUUCCCCCAAUCGGGGGAAGAGACAGUGGUACAAGAGGCUCCUUAUGCGGGGCACAUUGGCUUGCACCUGUAAUCCCAGCACGUUGGGAGGCUGAGGCAGGAGAAGCACUUGAGGUCAAGAGUUUGAGACCAGCCUGGCCAACAUGGCAAAACCUCAUCUCUACGAAAAUUAAAACAACAAUAAAAAAUUAGCCAGGCAUGGUGGCGCAUGCCUGUAAUCCCAGCUACUCAGGAGGCUGAGGCAUGAGAAUCGCUUGAGCCCGGGAGGUGGAGGUUGCAGUGAGCUGAGAUUGCACCACUGCACUCCAGCCUGGGCCACAGAGUGACACUGUCUCAAAACAAAACAAAACAAAACAAAAAAGCCUCCUUAGAUUCAAACUGGAUUCCGACCUCGGUUCCACUGGUCACCAUUCAACUACUGUUCAUCUCUUAGUCUCUGUUUCUGUAACUUCAAAAGGAAGUUAGCAUUUUCCUUGCAGAGGUGCUGAGGAUUGAAUGAGAGAAUACCUGGAAAGCAUUAGGCAUGUAGCACACUUAGCAGAUGGUGGUUGGCUCCCUCUGCUUUUCCACCAGUCUGUGGCCUACAGUUUAAAUGGUGGGAAGAAGGACAUGAGAUCUGAGGCUGGGGAAGGAGGUAUGGGGUUCUAGGCAAGGGAGGAAGCCUCUUAGGCCUGGAGCAAGGGAGCAGGGUCCUGGGCAGGUGACAGAGCCCCACAGUGCCCUAGCUACCCUAUUAAUGGGCCCAGAACCUGGAAGCCAGCCACCAUGUGCCCUCAUGCCCAGGGUCUUCCUGCAGGUGGAGAUGAAGAGCCAAGAGUCUCAGAGUCUGCAGCAGCAGUGAGACUAGUACCUGGGUCACCUGCAGCAGUACGUGGCCACCUAUCAGCAGCUGACCUCUGAGAAGGAGGCGCUGCACAGGCAGUUACUGCUGCAGACCCAGCUCGUGGACCAGCUGCAGCAGCAGGAAGCUUGGGGCAAAGCGGUGGCUGAGAUUAUAACAUUUUAAAAUAUGAAUACAGUAGUUUAAAACAAAGAAACUGGAGGAAGGAAAAGUAGAGAAAGAGAUGCCAAUUCAAGUCCAAACCUUUAUUUGCCAAGUUUUCUUAGAAUGACUUUUACCAAUU
RNAcentral lists this long non-coding RNA (2267 nucleotides) under Homo sapiens (human). RNAcentral's name for it is "non-protein coding lnc-MORF4L1-4:2". The record is from RNAcentral. Lineage: Eukaryota; Metazoa; Chordata; Mammalia; Primates; Hominidae.